Molecule: ribosomal RNA, 705 nt
Filed under: uncultured eukaryote
Lineage: Eukaryota
Description: bacterial SSU rRNA
Rfam family: Archaeal small subunit ribosomal RNA
Source: RNAcentral
GUGCCAAGCAGCCGCGGUAAAACCAGCACCUCAAGUGGUCAGGAUGAUUAUUGGGCCUAAAGCAUCCGUAGCCGGCUCUGUAAGUUUUCGGUUAAAUCUGUACGCUCAACGUACAGGCUGCCGGGAAUACUGCAGAGCUAGGGAGUGGGAGAGGUAGACGGUACUCGGUAGGAAGUGGUAAAAUGCUUUGAUCUAUCGAUGACCACCUGUGGCGAAGGCGGUCUACCAGAACACGUCCGACGGUGAGGGAUGAAAGCUGGGGGAGCAAACCGGAUUAGAUACCCGGGUAGUCCCAGCUGUAAACUAUGCAAACUCAGUGAUGCAUUGGCUUGUGGCCAAUGCAGUGCUGCAGGGAAGCCGUUAAGUUUGCCGCCUGGGAAGUACGUACGCAAGUAUGAAACUUAAAGGAAUUGGCGGGGGAGCACCACAAGGGGUGAAGCCUGCGGUUCAAUUGGAGUCAACGCCAGAAAUCUUACCCGGAGAGACAGCAGGAUGAAGGUCAAGCUGAAGACUUUACCAGACAAGCUGAGAGGUGGUGCAUGGCCGUCGCCAGCUCGUGCCGCGAGAUGUCCUGUUAAGUCAGGUAACGAGCGAGAUCCCUGCCUCUAGUUGCCACCAUUACUCUCAGGAGUAGUGGGGCGAAUUAGCGGGACCGCCGCAGUUAAUGCGGAGGAAGGAAGGGGCCACGGCAGGUCUGUGAUGCCC